RNAcentral lists this unclassified non-coding RNA (335 nucleotides) under soil metagenome. RNAcentral's name for it is "partial contains 5.8S ribosomal RNA, internal transcribed spacer 2, and large subunit ribosomal RNA". The stretch from base 1 to 120 matches the Rfam family "5.8S ribosomal RNA", at positions 35 to 154 of the family's 154-position model. The record is from RNAcentral.
GAUGAAGAACGUAGUGAAAUGCGAUAAGUAAUGUGAAUUGCAGAAUUCAGUGAAUCAUCGAAUCUUUGAACGCACAUUGCGCCCGCCAGUAUUCUGGCGGGCAUGCCUGUUCGAGCGUCAUUUCAACCAUCAAGCCCCAGGCUUGUGUUGGGGACCUGCGGCUGCCGCAGGCCCUGAAAACCAGUGGCGGGCUCGCUGUCACACCGGGCGUAGUAGAUUUUAUCUCGCUCAGGGCGUGCUGCGGGUCCCGGCCGUUAAAAGCCUUUUUUACCCAAGGUUGACCUCGGAUCAGGUAGGAAGACCCGCUGAACUUAAGCAUAUCAAUAAGCGGAGGA